RNAcentral lists this ribosomal RNA (591 nucleotides) under Triticum aestivum (bread wheat). Its description in RNAcentral is "partial small subunit ribosomal RNA". The record is from RNAcentral. Lineage: Eukaryota; Viridiplantae; Streptophyta; Magnoliopsida; Poales; Poaceae.
AUGGAUAUGGAACACGAAAUGCCAAAAAAAUUAGGUGUACUUGCUACUCAUAGAGAUGGGGUAACUCCUAAAACCCCCGAUGCUCAUUAUGUUCAAGAUAUUAUGUACUACUUUGAUAAUCCUGAGAAAACCCCAUCCAACUUUAUAAUGGGAGACACGUUGGAUCAACGUGAAUACUUUAGGGAUUAUCGCUCGACACAAAAAGGGAAACUAUUAUGGGAUCAAUUUAUUAUGUUGUGUUGGUAUGCCCGGGAUCUAUGCUUGAGAUGUGAUAUUACUUGUUGCUCUAGGAUGAAGGCUCCACACCUUCCCUUUUCAUGCAAAUUUAAUGAUAAUGAAACCUUAGCUUCUUAUGCUAAUGGUAUAUAUGAUUACUAUGAUGUGGAACAAAUAGAAGAAUUUGUUGCUUUUAAGGCUGCUUAUGAAAUUGAAUCUUUAUUUGAAAAGUAUGAAGCUUUUGAUGAUGAUGUUUAUAGGCCUGAAAAUCUUGCUAUACUUAGAUAUUGCUAUGAAAAUUAUGAAUACAAUUACUAUAUUAAUGCAUUUAUUGAGAAAGUCUUCGCUGUCCAAGAAGAGACUAAUAUUUUGUAG